CUGAAGAGGGAAGAAGAAAUCAACAUGCAAAUUCAAUUCCAUGGUUUUGGAAGUCCCAUUGAGAACACGAUUCAUUUGCGCCGGCAUAAUGCUCUGACCGAGAAAGAAUUGAAGUACCACGCUGAGUAUUGUUAUCCCGAUAGUUCUUUCAUCUCAGUCCGUGUGUAUUCCUGGGCGAAUGUGCUCGUGUGGUCUCAGGAGUUGCGGAGGUCACGGCUCUGGGACAGCCGUUUCAUCGCCCAAUGCUGCAGGAAAAAAGCAAUGCAAGUGCCGUUAAUUUUUUGCAUGGCGAGCUGCUGCAUACUAACCGGUCUCACACCAUUACCAACACCUUGCCCUUGUGAAGGCAGAUAUGGAUAAGGUUCUCAAAGCUGACAGAAGAUUGAAACCACUCUAAUCCUGUGACGAUGAACCUGUCCCGGAAGAGAGAGCCCAGAGAAUUGCCAAAGCUGUCCGCAAACAGUCAAUAGAAGUGAAGGAAAAUUGGGAACAACUGAAAAUCCGUGCGAGCAACUGGCAGAAACAGGUGGAAAAGGUGUUGGAGAAACUUCAAGAACUGCAGAAAGUUCUGGAUGAUCUUGAGGCUCAUGUGAUAACAGCUGAGGGGGUCCACACUGAUUGGCAACCUGUGAGUGACCUGCUUAUUGACUCAUUGCAGGAUCACAUUGAUAAAACCACAGGUCAGGACUAUCUUCAAAAUCUGAGAUUGGGUUUUGAAAGACAGCAGCCUUUGUUUUGGAGAGAUAAUGGGAACUGCAGAUGCUGGAGAAUGCGAGAUAACAACGUGUGGAGCUGGAUGAAGACAGCAGGCCAAGCAGCAUCUGAGCAGCUUUCCUGGAGCAAGUCUGUUUUCCUUCGGAUGAGACGACUUUCAGACAUACUCCCUUUAUUAUGAGAUUUAAUUGCGGUAAAAUGAGGAGGAUUUUUAUUCACUGAGACACACAUGACUAUAUGUUGAAAGCAUUGGAAAAAGCGUUCUGUUCGGACUGUCAUGUUAUCUGGUGUUUGUACCAGGCUUUCCGAUGAAAUGCAAGUGAUUAAGGAUGCUACUGAUGCCACAUGUUAUUACAAGAGGAAAUGAACAUACAAGUAAGGAUUUUAUGCCACAUUUAUACAUAGCAUGGGCCAUGCAGCAUGGAUGCAGUGACUGAGUGAAAUGGGAUGCAGUGACUGAGUGAAAUGGGAUGCAGUGACUGAGUGAAAUGGGACGCAGUGACUGAGUGAAAUGGGACGCAGUGACUGAGUGAAAUGGGACGCAGUGACUGAGUGAAAUGGGACGCAGUGACUGAGUGAAAUGGGACGCAGUGACUGAGUGAAAUGCUCACAGCGAAUUGCCCCCUCCAUCCUGACCCGCUCACAGCGACUUGCCCCUGCAGUCCUGUCCCAAUCACAAGGACUUGCCCUCUCCGUCCUUACCCGCUCACAGUGACUUGCCCCUGCAGUCCUGACCCCCUCACAGUGACCUGCCCCCUCACUCCUGACCCGCUCUACAUUGAGGAAACCAAGCAGAGGCUUGGGGACCGCUUUGCAGAACACCUCCACUCGGUUCGCAACAAACAACUGCACUUCCCAGUCGCGAACCAUUUUAACUCCCCCUCCCAUUCCUUAGACGACAUGUCCAUCAUGGGCCUCCUGCAGUGCCACAAUAAUGCCACCCGAAGGUUGCAAGAACAGCAACUCAUAAUCCGCUUGGGGACCCUGCAACCCAAUGGUAUCCAUGUGGACUUCACCAGCUUCAAAAUCUCCCCUUCCCCAACUGCAUCCCAAAACCAGCCCAGUUCUUCCCCUCCCCCUACUGCAUCACAAAACCAGCCCAGCUGUUCCCUUCCCCCGACUGCAUCCCAAAACCAGCCCAGCCUGUCUCCACCUCCCUAACAUGUUGUUCCUCUCACCCAUCCCUUCCUCCCACCUCAAGCCACACCUCAUCCUGCCUCCUUGACCUGUCUGUCUUCCCUGGACUGACCUAUGCCCUCCCUACCUCCUCACCUGUACUCUCCUCUCUACCUAUCUUGUUUUCUCUCCAUCUUCGGUCCGCACCCCCCCCCUCCCUAUUUAUUCCAGUUCCCUCUCCCAUCCCCCUCUCUGAUGAAGGGUCUAGGCCCGAAAUGUCAGCUUUUGUGCUCCUGAGAUGCUGCUUGGCCUGCUGUGUUCAUCCAGCUCCACACUUUAUGUUGGAUUCUCCAGCAUCUGCAGUUCCCAUUAUCAGUGGCAUUUUCCUCUUCAUCGAAGUUUGUGCAAAAGCAACACGAUAUGGGGCGGCACGGUGGCUCAGCGGUUAGCACUGCAGCCUCACAGCACUGGGGACCCAGGUUCAAUUCCAGCCUCAGACAACUGUCUGUGUGGAAUUUGCACCUUGUCCCUGUGUCUGCGUGAGUUUCCACCAGGUGCUCCGGUCUCCUCCCACAGUCCAAAGAUGUGCACGCUAGGUGGAUUGGCAAUGCUAAAUUGCCCGUAGUGUUCAGGGGCGUGGGUCUGGGUGGGAUGCUCCAAGGUUUGGUGUGCACUUGUUGGGCCAAAGGGCCUGUAUCCACACUAGGGAAUCUAAACAAACCUGUUCCCACAUCUCCAUGUUAUAACCCUGCUGAUCACUGCACACAGAGAUGUUUGAUAACAAAAGGAUAACAAUAAUAUUCAAACCUAGUGCUGGAGAUGUAUUUUAAAUACACGGAGGCCAGUGUCGAUCUCCAAUUCAACUUUUAUUUACAAAUGAACUGUCUUCAACUUUAGCACUGCCUCAUUCAGAGAUAGUUGACAGGGUGUCAGCAUCUCUGAUGCUCACACCUCUUAUCUGUCAGCCAGGGCUCCCUGAUUUGGGCUGUUAAUAUGGAACAAUCAGGCAACUCAUAUUCUGCGAGGUUCAACUGGCCGACCUGGUCACAAACCAGUGCGGUGUGUUCAUCGAAAAUCAAACGUAGUAGAAAGAUACCAUUCCAUACCAGUGUAAAGGAAGGCAUGAGGCUAAACUGGGGAGGGAAGGGAACUGCUUAUUGGGGGUGGCCCAGAGAGUAAAAGAAAAUCGAAUGGGAAGAAGACCAUUUGAGACUGAGGGAGAGAGAUGUAAUUGCCUGAAUGAGGCAUUCCAAUUGCGAAAUGGAUUUUAGUGUGUACACCAUGUUCAGUUUCCCCGAUCUUAAUCUGUACUCCUCUUUAAAUCAUUAGUAUCUGAAAUUUCUGUAUCAUUUCCAAAUGUUCUGUCUCUAAUGUUAUGCUGUUGGAGUUGGUUGAACUGCAGAGAUAUUAUUUAUUUGCACAAAUGUGUUCAGUGAAAUGAGUUGCAUGCUAUUUAUGUAUUAUUCUUCCUGAUUCUAUUGUACGCAUACAAAUUAAAGUUAGUUCCACUUUUGAACAAC
Molecule: long non-coding RNA, 3350 nt
Organism: Stegostoma tigrinum
Lineage: Eukaryota; Metazoa; Chordata; Chondrichthyes; Orectolobiformes; Stegostomatidae
Exons: 6
Source: RefSeq, a predicted model, not a curated record